This 185-nucleotide long non-coding RNA is filed under the name Lynx pardinus (Iberian lynx). The record is from RNAcentral. Lineage: Eukaryota; Metazoa; Chordata; Mammalia; Carnivora; Felidae.
CAGCUGGACUCAGUUUAGAUGAUCCCAAUUUUGUUGGCAACAUCCAAAGCAUCAUAGUCGGGAGCCAAUCAAACAUAUGCUUUCUUUCCUCCAUCGGGCCUGAUCAGAGUGUUGACCUUGGCCAUGUCAAUGUCAUAGAGCUUCUUCACAGCCUGUUUGAUCUGGUGCUUAUUGGCCUUGGCAUC